GCAGCUGAUGUCUGUGGUGGGUAGUCCUCUCAUCAGUCCUAGCAAGCAUCUUUAGCAGAAGAAUUGGCUGUCUGGGCAGCUAUCUGAUAUCUAGGGGAUCCAGAGAGUCUGUACAGGUAACCGAGGCCACCCACGGAUAUGGAAUCCAAUGGAAGCUGCCCAGACAGAAGACGAUUGAAGGUGUCCAGAGCUGCUAGGAGUCCAGACCUUCAAAAACCAUGCCAUGUCUAGAAGAACAACAGCUUUAUACAGCACUCCUUCCCACCCUAUAGCUAUUACAGUCUUUCUGUACCCCUUUUUCUUCAUUCCCUGAGCCCUGAAUGGAGAUAUUUAUUCAGAUAUCCAGUUUAGAGAGAAGCACUCGGUAACCAUACACUCUCACAUUAAGAGACUCUGCAUUAAGCAUUCCCCAGUACUUGUAAGAUUAGGAAUCACUAGAUAAGUGGUUUUUCAACUUUCCUAACCCUUUAAGUUCCUCAUGUUGUAGUGACCCCCCCCAACCAUAAAAUUAUUUUUGUUGCAA
Long non-coding RNA from Mastomys coucha (southern multimammate mouse), 523 nucleotides. RefSeq lists it as uncharacterized. Lineage: Eukaryota; Metazoa; Chordata; Mammalia; Rodentia; Muridae. The transcript is spliced from 2 exons. The record is from RefSeq and is a predicted model, not a curated record.